AGAGUUUGAUCCUGGCUCAGGAUGAACGCCGGCGGUGUGCCUAAUACAUGCAAGUCGUACGCACUGGCCCAACUGAUUAAUGGUGCUUGCACCUGAUUGACGAUGGAUCACCAGUGAGUGGCGGACGGGUGAGUAACACGUAGGUAACCUGCCCCGGAGCGGGGGAUAACAUUUGGAAACAGAUGCUAAUACCGCAUAACAACAAAAGCCACAUGGCUUUUGUUUGAAAGAUGGCUUUGGCUAUCACUCUGGGAUGGACCUGCGGUGCAUUAGCUAGUUGGUAAGGUAACGGCUUACCAAGGCGAUGAUGCAUAGCCGAGUUGAGAGACUGAUCGGCCACAAUGGAACUGAGACACGGUCCAUACUCCUACGGGAGGCAGCAGUAGGGAAUCUUCCACAAUGGGCGCAAGCCUGAUGGAGCAACACCGCGUGAGUGAAGAAGGGUUUCGGCUCGUAAAGCUCUGUUGUUGGAGAAGAACGUGCGUGAGAGUAACUGUUCACGCAGUGACGGUAUCCAACCAGAAAGUCACGGCUAACUACGUGCCAGCAGCCGCGGUAAUACGUAGGUGGCAAGCGUUAUCCGGAUUUAUUGGGCGUAAAGCGAGCGCAGGCGGUUGCUUAGGUCUGAUGUGAAAGCCUUCGGCUUAACCGAAGAAGUGCAUCGGAAACCGGGCGACUUGAGUGCAGAAGAGGACAGUGGAACUCCAUGUGUAGCGGUGGAAUGCGUAGAUAUAUGGAAGAACACCAGUGGCGAAGGCGGCUGUCUGGUCUGCAACUGACGCUGAGGCUCGAAAGCAUGGGUAGCGAACAGGAUUAGAUACCCUGGUAGUCCAUGCCGUAAACGAUGAGUGCUAGGUGUUGGAGGGUUUCCGCCCUUCAGUGCCGGAGCU
Molecule: ribosomal RNA, 890 nt
Filed under: uncultured bacterium
Lineage: Bacteria
Description: bacterial SSU rRNA
Rfam family: Bacterial small subunit ribosomal RNA
Source: RNAcentral